RNAcentral lists this ribosomal RNA (253 nucleotides) under uncultured bacterium. RNAcentral describes it as "partial 16S ribosomal RNA". It matches the Rfam family "Bacterial small subunit ribosomal RNA", at positions 524 to 776 of the family's 1533-position model. The record is from RNAcentral.
UACAGAGGGUGCAAGCGUUAAUCGGAAUUACUGGGCGUAAAGAGAGCGUAGGUCGUUGAGUAAGUCGGAUGUGAAAUCCCCGGGCUUAACCUGGGAAUUGCAUUCGAUACUGCCUGACUAGAGUGUGGAAGAGGGAAGCGGAAUUUCCGGUGUAGCGGUGAAAUGCGUAGAUAUCGGAAGGAACACCAGUGGCUAAGGCGGCUUCCUGGUCCAACACUGACGCUGAGGCGCGAAAGCGUGGGGAGCGAACAGG